This 70-nucleotide transfer RNA is filed under the name Lepidocephalus macrochir. RNAcentral describes it as "tRNA-Arg". It matches the Rfam family "tRNA". Rfam says of the family: Transfer RNA (tRNA) molecules are approximately 80 nucleotides in length. Their secondary structure includes four short double-helical elements and three loops (D, anti-codon, and T loops). Lineage: Eukaryota; Metazoa; Chordata; Actinopteri; Cypriniformes; Cobitidae. The record is from RNAcentral.
AGAGAGUUAGUCCAAAAUAAGACCCCUGAUUUCGGCUCAGAAAAUCGUGGUUAAACUCCACGACUCCCUU